UCGGCGGCCUGGGUUUUCAUUAUUUUCUCCGCCGGCUUCCAGACGACUGGCGAUCCUCAACCCUCCUCCGAGUUCCUGGGAACUCCCGGGAGAUUCCCGAGCCUCGUGGGGUCUGUGUGGCCGGUGGGUUCCGCCUGAACGUUUGGACAUGCCGGCGUUGGACUCCGUUUCCCACAGGCUCAGAGCCACGGAUGAACCUGGAGCGUUGGUUCCCCUUCCGGUGUGGUGGUGUGGCGCACUUCCUGGGGAGUUGAGGCGGCUGAGGUCAGGCCCCGGCUCUCCCGAGGCGGGAUGGAUACUGUGGAGCCCGAAGCUACAAACCUGCGCAAGCCGCGAACGUUUGUGACGGCGACCCUGCAGGGUGUGGAUGUACGAGAGGGAAGGGCUGAAUGUGUUUGUGACGACGCCCUGGUGUGCGCCCUGAUUGGUUUCUGAUUGGACUCGUGUGACCGUUUCACUUGGUGUUUGGUGAUGUAGGUGUUUCACUCUGUGACGUACUUGCCGAGCGUACCAGAUGAAGUUUUUGUUUUCAACGAGUCCGUAGUGUCCCUUCUUCUUUUUUGUGAUAUUCUCGGUACCCAGGUUGGUGCAUAACAUAGAAGGGCAUUGUGGCGUGAGUGACCACCCACCCCAGGUUCUAGUUGUGGGUUCCGUGGUUUUUUUGGAACAUGUUUCCGGAAUUGUCUUUUUCUGUCCUCACAGCUAGCUGUAGAGAAAUAGUCAUCACAAGAGAAGUCGUGUAUUUCUGCCCAGAGUGGAAGUUCCAAGCAGAAAAGAACAUUCUAAGUCAUGAGGUGUGAAUUGCAUUGGCCUCCCAGAUAUGCUCCAGGGAAGAUACUGAGGGGAGGGAGUUUUUCCUGGGAGAUGGCCCCUUGAAUACCCUGUGGAGGCAUUUACACAUUUCCUAACCACAGUAUUUCCUGAGCUGUGUCCCCUAGAAGCCGAUGUGAACCCCGAGGACAGGCUCUAGGCAUUGAUGAUUCUGACACGGAGAAGAGUCUGUAGUUUUCUAGUUUCCCCUCUUCCAUCUGGGUUUAUGGGUUGUGUAUGAUGGGUGCUUGUCUGGUGGUGGACAGUAUUAUUUAGCCAGUCCAAGAUCUCACAAGUCAGACUGAUCUCACAAGUCCUUUCUUCUUGGUCAUGUUAUUCCUCAAGAGAAAGAAGGCUCCUGAAGUGGAAAGGAGCACUGCUUUUUAACGGCCAUCUCAAGUUUCACUGGGGAACAUGCCCAUCGAGCUUUACCCACUCUUAUGCCAGAAGUGGAAUUUCCUGACCGGUUCUUCACAGUUCUAACCAUGGACCAUGAAUUGGUGACAUUCAGAGAUGUUGUCAUCAACUUCUCUCAGGAAGAGUGGGAAUACCUGGAUUCUGCUCAGAGGGAUUUAUAUUGGGAUGUGAUGAUGGAGAACUAUAGCAACUUGGUCUCACUGGAUUUGGAGUCUAGGUGUGAGACAGAGAUUUUAUCUGUAAGAAAGGAUGUUUUUGAAAACAGUGGUUCUCAGUUGGAAGUAAUGGAAAAUAGCAAUCUCAUUGACUUCAAAAGCUCCAUUUUCAGAAAUGACUGGCAAAGCAAAAACAAGAUUGAAGUAAAAGGACCUGGAUGGAGAUGUUUCAGUAAGAUGAAAAUCAUCUCUGACAAACAGCCCAAUUAUAAGAAUUAUAAAUAUCUUACAUUACCUCAGAGAAUGCAUGGUGGUGCGAAGCCCUAUGAAUAUAAGGAAUGUGGGAAAGUGUUCAGUUGUGACUCAAACUUUGAUCACUAUCAGAGAAUAAUACAUACUGAUGAGAAAACCUAUGAAUGUAAUGGAUGCUGGAAAAACUCUGGGAUGGAUAAUUCACAUAUACUACAAUUGAAUAUUCAUACUGGAGUGAAGCCUUGUAAAUAUAUGGAACAUGGGAAUAAACUUAGUUUCUAUGAAGAUCUUAGUCUUUACCAAAAAAUUUAUAGCAUUGGGACGUUCUAUAAGUGUAAGGAAUAUGGGAGGAUCUUUAGAAGUGUUGGAGAAAUUACUCCCAUUCAAAGAAUUCAUGAUGGUGAGAAGCCCUAUGAAUGUACAUUCUGUGGGAAAUCCUUUAGGGUGCUUGCACAACUUACUCGACAUCAGAAAAUUCAUACUGAUGAGAAACCUUACAAAUGUAUGGAAUGUGGCAAGGACUUUAGAUUUCAUUCACAGCUUACUGAACAUCAGAGAAUUCAUACUGGGGAGAAACCAUACAAAUGUAUCCACUGUGAGAAGGUUUUUAGAAUUAGUUCACAACUCCUUGAACAUCAGAGAAUUCACACUGGUGAGAAACCUUAUGCAUGCAAGGAAUGUGGGAAGGCUUUUGGAGUCUGUAGAGAACUUGCUCGACAUCAGAGAAUUCAUACAGUGUGGCUGUAUUUGGAGAUAGGCCUUUUAGAAUGUAACCAAGGUUGAAUAAAGACAUAAAGAAUUGAUUUUGAUCGAAAAUGGAUGGUGAUCUUCUGCAUGAAGAUAGUGACCUUCUAAGGGACAUCUCACUUUGCAUGCUCACACACCAAGGAAAGGCCACAUGAGAACAAAAGAAGAUGGGAAUCUACAAGCCAAGAAGAAAGCCCUCACCAGGAACUGAAUCUACUAGCACCUUGAUUGUGGACUUCACAACCUCCAAAACUGUAAGAAAAUACUUAUCUGUUAUUUAAGUCGUAUAGUGUAUAAGACUUUGCUAUGGCAUCUCAGACAGACUAACAAAGGUUUUGGUAAUCAGAACUAGGGUAUUGCUGUUACAAGUGCCUAAAAAUGCAGAAGCUAGGCUUUGGAAAUAGGUAAUGGGCAGAGAGGCUGGAAAAGUUCUAAGACUAAUGGUAGAUUGAUUUUCAUUCAAAAUAAUUAUUGAUAGAUAAUAUUUGAUACUAUUAUAUUACUCCCUGUUUACUAGUUAUUUUGUAGAUCUUUUUGUUCCUUUAUUUGUCCUCCUUUAUGGUUAAGUGGUUUUCUCUAUCAGUAAGUUUUUAUUCCCGACUUUUUGUUUUUAAUGUAUCAAAAUUUUUUUAUUUUGGGAUAGUCUUAUUGGGUUGAAUCUGAUUGGUGAACUUUGGCCUUCCUAUACUAGAUAUUUGAUAUUUGUAUCUUUCUACAGGUUUGGAAAGUUUUCUGUUAAUCUUUAAAAUAAACAUUCUACCACUUUGUCAUUCUCAAGCCUCUCUUUGAUACCAAUGACAUAUAUAUAGAUUUAUUUUUUGAUCAUGUCCCACAGAUCCUGAAGAUAAAAGUCAUUACUAUUAUACCUGGCUUGCAAGAAAUGUUCAAUGGAGCCCAGCAAAGAGAAAUGAAAUAUUACAACACAGUAACUUGAAACCAUAGGAAGAGAUAAAGAUUUCAAUAAAGCUGCCAUGGAUGGAUUUUGGGAGAACAUGGCAAAUCGAGUGUGCUGCGAGUGUGGCUGGAGUGGAGUAAAUAUGGCAAGUGUUCCUCUCCAGGAUCUGAAUGUAGCAAUGGAUAAUGAUAGUAAAAACUGGAAAAACCAAAGGAAGAGGGGGAAACACUUCUGUUGAGAGCCACAGCCAAAGGGGCCCCAGCAAACUUCCAGCUGCCAGCAAACUUCCAGCUGCUGGCUGAUGAUUGGCUCACAGCGGCCCCAGCAACAUCUAGCUGAUUGGCUCCUCGGCCCCAGCAACAUCUAGCUGAUUGGCUCCUCUGCGGUGAUGCUCAUUGGGCUGUUUCCCUGCCCUUUCAGACCACGGAGCUGCUCAUUGGGGGACUUUUUUGGCUCCGC
Molecule: RNA transcript, 3735 nt
Organism: Marmota monax (woodchuck)
Lineage: Eukaryota; Metazoa; Chordata; Mammalia; Rodentia; Sciuridae
Gene: Znf529
Gene name: zinc finger protein 529
Exons: 8
Source: RefSeq, a predicted model, not a curated record